This 387-nucleotide ribosomal RNA is filed under the name Anaxipha aff. fuscocinctum ICCM-2015. Its description in RNAcentral is "partial 12S ribosomal RNA". Lineage: Eukaryota; Metazoa; Arthropoda; Insecta; Orthoptera; Trigonidiidae. The record is from RNAcentral.
UAUUAUUAUGUAUGUAAAUUUGAUUUUUGAAUAUUAUUAGUUAUGUUCUUGAAAUUUAAAGAAAUUGACGGUAUUUUAGUCUUUUCAGAGGAAUCUGUUCUAUAAUUGAUAAUACACGAGUUAAAUGUACUUUAUUUAGUAAAGCUUGUAUAUCGUUGUCGUAAAUUUAUCUUAAAAAAGUUUAUUUUUGAAUAAAAAAAUUAGAUUAAAUGUCAAAUCAAGGUGCAGUUUAUGAUAAAGAAGAAAUGGAUUACAAUUUAAUGGUAAACGAAUUAAUUUGUUUAAAUAAUUUUUGAAGGUGGAUUUGAUUGUAAAUUUGUUGAUUUAUAUAUUGAUUUAAGCUCUAAAAUAUGUACAUAUCGCCCGUCAUUCCUGUUAUAAAAUGGG